RNAcentral lists this ribosomal RNA (419 nucleotides) under uncultured bacterium. Its description in RNAcentral is "bacterial SSU rRNA". It matches the Rfam family "Bacterial small subunit ribosomal RNA", at positions 32 to 438 of the family's 1533-position model. The record is from RNAcentral.
AAUCAACGCUGGCGGCGUGCCUCAGACAUGCAAGUCGAACAAUUAAAGCUCUCUUCGGAGAGUGUAUAGAGUGGCGCACGGGUGAGUAACACGUAAGUAAUCUGCCUUCGAGUGGGGAAUAACAUCGGGAAACCGAUGCUAAUACCGCAUAAUGCAGCGGCACCGCAAGGUGACAGUUGUUAGAGGAGCAAUCCGCUUGUAGAGGAGCUUGCGGCAGAUUAGCUAGUUGGUAAGGUAAUGGCUUACCAAGGCUACGAUCUGUAACCGGUCUAAGAGGACGGUCGGGUCACACUGACACUGAAUAACGGGUCAGACUCCUACGGGAGGCAGCAGUCGGGAAUUUUUGGGCAAUGGGCGAAAGCCUGACCCAGCAACGCCGCGUGAAGGAUGAAGUAUUUCGGGUAUGUAAACUUCGAAAG